Molecule: long non-coding RNA, 756 nt
Filed under: Numida meleagris (helmeted guineafowl)
Lineage: Eukaryota; Metazoa; Chordata; Aves; Galliformes; Numididae
Description: lncRNA (ENSNMEG00000002564.1)
Source: RNAcentral
CAAGAAUCAUAAUCAAUUAUUCCUCACUUUCCCUUGUCAUUUCCAUUACUUUCCCCUACCUCAGGCCCUGCAGCCAACUCCUGGUGCUGGCAGAGCCUUCCAGUUUCCUGUGGCCUGCACAAGUGCAACAGGGGAGGAUUGCACAGCUUAUUAUCCAGAACUGAUGGCAAAUUAAUGUAAAAUGAAAAGCUCUGCGUGCACCUGAAAGUCUCAGCAAGUUAGUACAUCAUCAUCUGCCUUUCUGAGACGUCUGAAUGUCCUAGCCUGCUGUGCUGCAGAUGUGCUUUGUUGUGUCAUAAUUCUCACAACACUGCCUGAUAGGUCUAACAGAGCCAGAGAAAUAGCCUGGAAAAACCUCCAUGAACUGAAGCUGAAAGUGGCCCUGGAGACAGCUGACAUCACCUGCUUUGUAUUAUCAGCUGUAGAACUGUGCUUGUCCACUGGCCAUCUGCCUCAGGAUUGGGCACAGAGGAUGAAUCUGAGCAGCUCGCAAAGUUCUUUAAACAGUGUUAACAAGACUUGGGAACUACUUCAAAUUCUCACAGACAUCAUGCAAUCGGAGAAAAGCAAGGUUUCAUGCUGACACCCCUGUCUCAAGAGAUCUGAACUGCAGAAGUUGACUUGUUUCCCUGGGUCUGAUUUAGGACUCGUUGCCUAUUCUGCUUGAAGUCAAUAACUUACCAAGGGAAGUUUUUGCACAAUUCAUUCUGUCUCCUAGAUGAUCUAACUGAUUGUAAAAACAAAGAUUUAUGUGGA